Molecule: ribosomal RNA, 774 nt
Filed under: uncultured Neocallimastigales
Lineage: Eukaryota; Fungi; Neocallimastigomycota; Neocallimastigomycetes; Neocallimastigales
Description: partial large subunit ribosomal RNA
Rfam family: Eukaryotic large subunit ribosomal RNA
Source: RNAcentral
UCAGACGAUGCGUCAUGCAUAUCAAUAAGCGGAGGAAAAGAAACUAACAAGGAUUCCCCUAGUAACGGCGAGUGAAGCGGGAAGAGCUCAAAUUUGAAAUCUUAAAGGGUUUCCCUUUACGAAUUGUAGUUUAAAGAAGUGUUUUCUGUUGAGGUUUUGGUAAAAGUUCUUUGGAAUAGGACAUCAUAGAGGGUGAGAAUCCCGUAUUUGACCUUUACUUUCAACUUUGUGAUACACUUUCAAAGAGUCGGAUUGUUUGGGAAUGCAGUCCAAAAUGGGUGGUAAAUUUCAUCUAAAGCUAAAUAUUGGCGAGAGACCGAUAGCGAACAAGUACCGUGAGGGAAAGAUGAAAAGAACUUUGAAAAGAGAGUUAAACAGUACGUGAAAUUGUCAAAAGGGAAGCGUUUGACACCAGUGUUGUUUUUCUGAAAAUCAAUUAAAGAACUGUUUAUGCUAAGCUGUUUAGACUUUAUCAGCUAUCUGUUUAGUUUUGAGCUUUUCUUUAAUGCACUUUUCAGUUAACAAGUCAACAUCAAUUUCUUUUGCUGUAAAAAAGCUUGAGGAAGGUGGCUUGAGAUUCGUCUUAAGUGUUUAUAGCCUCUUGCCUAUGCAGUCGGAGAGAUUGAGGUCUGCAGCGUAGAUCCUUCGGGGCUAAGUGCAUUUGUGCUAAGUUAUAGCAUUUUAUAGACAACUUGUUGACUAUGAUUUGUCUUGUAGCUUACUCGCUUAUGUUAUUUUACCUACGCUUAGGAUGUUGACACACGCGCGUGCUCG